GGCGGCGUGCUUAACACAUGCAAGUCGAGCGAUGAAGUUUCUUCGGAAAUGGAUUAGCGGCGAACGGGUGAGGAACACGUGAAGAAUCUGCCCUCCACUUUGGGAUAACACCGGGAAACCGGUGCUAAUACCGAAUAUUGAAACAUAAGUGGCAUCACUGAGUUUUGAAAGAAUUUCGGUGGAGGAUGACUUCGCGGCCUAUCAGCUAGUUGGUGAGGUAAUGGCUCACCAAGGCAACGACGGGUAGCCGGCCUGAGAGGGCGACCGGCCACACUGGGACUGAGACACGGCCCAGACUCCUACGGGAGGCAGCAGUGGGGAAUAUUGGGCAAUGGAGGAAACUCUGACCCAGCGACGCCGCGUGCGGGAUGAAGGCCUUCGGGUUGUAAACCGCUUUCAGUAGGGAAGAAGCGAAAGUGACGGUACCUACAAAAGAAGCACCGGCUAACUAUGUGCCAGCAGCCGCGGUAAUACAUAGGGUGCAAGCGUUGUCCGGAAUUAUUGGGCGUAAAGAGCUCGUAGGUCGUUUGUUACGUCGGAUGUGAAAACCUGAGGCUCAACCUCAGGCCUGCAUUCGAUACGGGCAAACUAGAGUUUGGUAGGGGAGACUGGAAUUCCUGGUGUAGCGGUGGAAUGCGCAGAUAUCAGGAGGAACACCAAUGGCGAAGGCAG
This 672-nucleotide ribosomal RNA is filed under the name Actinomycetes bacterium. RNAcentral's name for it is "bacterial SSU rRNA". It matches the Rfam family "Bacterial small subunit ribosomal RNA", at positions 38 to 724 of the family's 1533-position model. Lineage: Bacteria; Bacillati; Actinomycetota; Actinomycetes. The record is from RNAcentral.